CGUCAGAAUGAACGUCAGGAUGAACAGCAGCCACUGGCAUUUUAUUGGCCCCAACCUAUGAUCAAAAGUCAAACUUCAUUUCUGUAAGACUCUACAGGAGAAAGAUGGCGGGUGAUUCUGCUGGUGAGGAAAUGGCUACUGCGGACUUUGCUCAAGGUUCUACAGGAGACUUAAGGAUCUUGUUGUUAGGGAGAAGUGGAU
Molecule: RNA transcript, 201 nt
Organism: Pangasianodon hypophthalmus (striped catfish)
Lineage: Eukaryota; Metazoa; Chordata; Actinopteri; Siluriformes; Pangasiidae
Exons: 3
Source: RefSeq, a predicted model, not a curated record